Molecule: non-coding RNA, 157 nt
Organism: Pelobates cultripes (western spadefoot toad)
Lineage: Eukaryota; Metazoa; Chordata; Amphibia; Anura; Pelobatidae
Source: the annotation of a GenBank genome assembly
GCAGACACAUUCCAGCCAAUCAGCAGCAGACCCUCCCUCCCAGACCCUCCCACCUCCUGGACAGCAUCCAUUUUGAAGCUGCAUUCUUAGUGAGCUGUCCAGGAGGUGGGAGGGUCUGGGAGGGAGGGUCUGCUGCUGAUUGGCUGGAAUGAGUCUG